Molecule: ribosomal RNA, 253 nt
Filed under: uncultured bacterium
Lineage: Bacteria
Description: partial 16S ribosomal RNA
Rfam family: Bacterial small subunit ribosomal RNA
Source: RNAcentral
AACGUAGGAGGCGAGCGUUAUCCGGAGUGACUGGGCGUAAAGCGCGCGCAGGCGGCUUGUCAAGUAAGGCCUGAAAGGUCUCGGCUCAACCGAGGAGACGGGUUUUAGACUGGUGAGCUGGAGCAGUACAGAGGAGCGUGGAAUUCCGGGUGUAGCGGUGAAAUGUGCAGAGAUCCGGAGGAACACCAGCGGUGAAAACGGCGCUCUGGGUACCGGCUGACGCUGAGGCGCGAAAGCGUGGGGAGCGAACGGG